RNAcentral lists this long non-coding RNA (1330 nucleotides) under Musa acuminata (dwarf banana). RNAcentral's name for it is "long non-coding RNA (MACU_LNC010184)". The record is from RNAcentral. Lineage: Eukaryota; Viridiplantae; Streptophyta; Magnoliopsida; Zingiberales; Musaceae.
GGGAGAAAGAGUUGCUAAUAUGCUAUCUUGAAUUGAUGUAAAGGGUCAUCUCAAAGAGAAAUUAGCUAGCUUGCAGAAGUCAAGAAAUGUAAAAACUUGCUUACAUUCUUGCACAUUUAAAGAGAAGAUGAAAAUGUAACACUUGCCAAAUUGUUUGCUUGCCUCAUGUAAAACAUUGUCUCUUAUGUUCAUCAUGUGCAUUGUGCACCAUUUCAUAUGUCAUUAAUGAACUGAUUGUUGAAUCUCGUAUUUUGAUGAUGAAACUACUUGAUAUAUAUGUAUGAUUUAAUCUGCGUUUUGAGUGACGCAGGAUGCUUCGAUCAGGAUGAGACAAUUAAAGCAGGAAAAUCAUGUUGUGCCUGUAAUAUCCCUCACUUUUGAAACUUAUUAAUAAAGAUUUAUUUAUAAAUCGGGGGACCUAUAUGUAAAUAUGGAAAUUUCAAGGACUAAACUGUUAAGUUGCAAAAAGAAAAAAAGAUAAAGGAAAACCGAAAAUUCGGUUUUAUCCCACCGCCUCCCACGCUCUCUGUUUCUCGAACAGAGAGAGAAGCGGUGGGGCGUGGGUCUGUUUCUCGAAUAGAGAGAGGAGCGGUGGAGCGUGGGGAGAAGAAGAGAGGAAGAAGAGGGAGAAGAGAAGAAGAAGAAGAAGAAGAAGAAAAAGAAGAGAGGAGAAUAGCUGCGGCAAGGCUGCAGCGAGGAGGUGUGUGGCCUUGGGGAGGAAAAGGGAAGAGGAGAAGAAGAGAAGGAGAAGAAGAGGGAAAAGAGAGGGAAGACGGAGUGGAGCGAGAGGUGGCAGCAGCUAGGGCUGCAGCACCUCUGUUUCCUGCAGGUGGAAACAGAGGAGACGUGUGGGGUGUCGGGUAGGAGAAGAGCAGAAGAAGGAGAAGAGGAAGAGAAGAAGAAGAGGAAGCAGGAGAAGAGGUUGUGAUACCUCUGUUUCCUGCAGAGGAAACAGAGGAGAGGGUGUGUGUGACGCCGGGGAGGAGGAGGGAAGAAGAAGAGGAGAAGAAGAGAAGAGGAAGAAAUGGAAGAAGAGAGGAAGAGGAGAAGGGGUGGUAGCUGCGGCAGUGGCAGCUGCAGUUGGAAGAGAAGGAGAGGAAAUAGAGUAGCGGAGGAAGAAGAGGCUGCGGUUGUAGUGGCUGCGGCCAUGGUUGCGACUGCGACUGCGGCAGUUGCAGUUGGGAAAGAAAAGAAAGGAAAGGGGGAAAAAGGGGCUGCGGACGGGAUUGCGGCCGCAACGGCAGCGACUGUGUAUGCAGCAGUUAUGUCUGCGAGAGAAGGGGGGAAGGAAGGUAGUGCGGUGGAAGGGGCUGCGAUUGUGGCAGCGGCA